Calypte anna (Anna's hummingbird) is the source of this 608-nucleotide long non-coding RNA. RefSeq lists it as uncharacterized. The transcript is spliced from 3 exons. Lineage: Eukaryota; Metazoa; Chordata; Aves; Apodiformes; Trochilidae. The record is from RefSeq and is a predicted model, not a curated record.
UCCCUCGGCCGGGACGCAGCGCGCAGCGUUUGAAUCGCGGCGCCAUUUUGUCCCUUCCCUACGCACCUCCCGGCUGGGGGGCUCCGGCGGGGAACUGCCCGCAAGAUUCUUCCCGAGGGAUACGGGGAGCUUGGAGCCUUCAGCGGGGACUCUGAGGAUCUCCCUGAGGGGCAGCGUGUCUCCGCCGACUCGCUUGGAAAGUUUUUUUUCCCUUCUCUCUCCUGCCCCCCCCCCCCCCCCCCCCCAUGACAGAGCGGCCCCAUCGGCGCUGCCUUCCCACCGCGGGCUCCGUGAGGGGAACGGGGCAGCGCUCUCGGCAAGGUCGUUGCUCCCCGGUUCUCCUCAGCCCAGCCAGGCUACAGCCCCCGGGGAUCUGUGGGUCCUCUGGAAUGGGAUCACCCGAGGGAAGAGGUCCUGGAUAAAUCCCAUCUCUGAUAGAGCUAUGCCAAGUAUCCACUCUUCUCCUUGACUUUUCCAUAAUCAACUGAAGCAUUUGGAAUAUGAGGAGCAAUUAGAAGAAGCUGAUAAACAUGAUGACAGCAAUCUCAACAGCAAAACUUCUUAACACCAGAGGAGUUUUAUGUCAUAGGGAACUGCUUUCUGUCUUG